RNAcentral lists this ribosomal RNA (160 nucleotides) under Passalora stromatica. RNAcentral describes it as "5.8S ribosomal RNA". It matches the Rfam family "5.8S ribosomal RNA". Rfam says of the family: 5.8S ribosomal RNA (5.8S rRNA) is a component of the large subunit of the eukaryotic ribosome. It is transcribed by RNA polymerase I as part of the 45S precursor that also contains 18S and 28S rRNA. The record is from RNAcentral. Lineage: Eukaryota; Fungi; Ascomycota; Dothideomycetes; Mycosphaerellales; Mycosphaerellaceae.
AAACUUUCAACAACGGAUCUCUUGGUUCUGGCUUCGAUGAAGAACGCAGACGAAAUGCGAUAAGUAAUGUGAAUUGCAGAAUUCAGUGAAUCAUCCGAAUCUUUGAACGCACAUUGCGCCCUGUGGUAUUCCGCAGGGCAUGCCUGUUCGAGCGUCAUUU